This 492-nucleotide ribosomal RNA is filed under the name uncultured bacterium. RNAcentral describes it as "partial 16S ribosomal RNA". It matches the Rfam family "Bacterial small subunit ribosomal RNA", at positions 29 to 507 of the family's 1533-position model. The record is from RNAcentral.
AGUGAACGCUGGCGGUAGGCCUAACACAUGCAAGUCGAACGGCAGCACAGUAAGAGCUUGCCCUUACGGGUGGCGAGUGGCGGACGGGUGAGGAAUACAUCGGAAUCUACUUUUUCGUGGGGGAUAACGUAGGGAAACUUACGCUAAUACCGCAUACGACCUACGGGUGAAAGCAGGGGAUCUUCGGACCUUGCGCGAUUGAAUGAGCCGAUGUCGGAUUAGCUAGUUGGCGGGGUAAAGGCCCACCAAGGCGACGAUCCGUAGCUGGUCUGAGAGGAUGAUCAGCCACACUGGAACUGAGACACGGUCCAGACUCCUACGGGAGGCAGCAGUGGGGAAUAUUGGACAAUGGGCGCAAGCCUGAUCCAGCCAUACCGCGUGGGUGAAGAAGGCCUUCGGGUUGUAAAGCCCUUUUGUUGGGAAAGAAAAGCAGCAGGUUAAUACCCCGCUGUUCUGACGGUACCCAAAGAAUAAGCACCGGCCAACUUCGUG